GGGGCCGACUGGUUUUGACAGCGGGUCUAAUUGUACAGUAAGCAUGUCGAGCGCUGGAAUACAGCUCGUAAAUCUCAUAUUUCACACUUUUUAAACGGCGAGAAUAACUA
Molecule: transfer-messenger RNA, 110 nt
Filed under: Flavobacteriaceae bacterium
Lineage: Bacteria; Pseudomonadati; Bacteroidota; Flavobacteriia; Flavobacteriales; Flavobacteriaceae
Also listed under: 1 other name
Description: partial transfer-messenger RNA
Rfam family: transfer-messenger RNA
About the family: Bacterial tmRNA, also known as 10Sa RNA or SsrA, is named for its dual tRNA and mRNA-like properties. Its role is to liberate the mRNA from a stalled ribosome.
Source: RNAcentral